GACGAACGCUGGCGGCGUGCUUAACACAUGCAAGUCGAACGGUGAAGGGAAGCUUGCUUCCCGGAUCAGUGGCGAACGGGUGAGUAACACGUGGGCAAUCUGCCCCAGACUUUGGGAUAACUACUCGAAGAGUAGCUAAUACCGAAUAUUCAGCCUUGCAGGCAUCUGCGAGGCUGGAAAGUUUCUCGGUCUGGGAUGAGCCCGCGGCCUAUCAGCUAGUUGGUGAGGUAAUGGCUCACCAAGGCGACGACGGGUAGCCGGCCUGAGAGGGCGACCGGCCACACUGGGACUGAGACACGGCCCAGACUCCUACGGGAGGCAGCAGUGGGGAAUAUUGCGCAAUGGGCGAAAGCCUGACGCAGCAACGCCGCGUGCGGGAUGAAGGCCUUCGG
Molecule: ribosomal RNA, 392 nt
Filed under: uncultured bacterium
Lineage: Bacteria
Description: bacterial SSU rRNA
Rfam family: Bacterial small subunit ribosomal RNA
Source: RNAcentral